CCCAUCAAAGUGAGGAACCCAGAAUACAGUGCCUUGAUGACUUUGCACAGAUUGUAGCUGUAUUUCUUGAGCUCCUGCUGAUUACGAGCAAGCAAGAAAUCAUUCGUUUGAAAUCAGUUCCCUGCUUCCCUGCAGUAAAUGGUGACAAAG
Long non-coding RNA from Mobula hypostoma (lesser devil ray), 150 nucleotides. RefSeq lists it as uncharacterized. The record is from RefSeq and is a predicted model, not a curated record. The transcript is spliced from 3 exons. NCBI's taxonomy places the organism in Eukaryota, Metazoa, Chordata, Chondrichthyes, Myliobatiformes, Myliobatidae.